Molecule: ribosomal RNA, 375 nt
Filed under: uncultured bacterium
Lineage: Bacteria
Description: bacterial SSU rRNA
Rfam family: Bacterial small subunit ribosomal RNA
Source: RNAcentral
UCAGUUGUGAAAGUUUGCGGCUCAACCGUAAAAUUGCAGUUGAUACUGGGUACCUUGAGUGCAGCAUAGGUAGGCGGAAUUCGUGGUGUAGCGGUGAAAUGCUUAGAUAUCACGAAGAACUCCGAUUGCGAAGGCAGCUUACUGGACUGUAACUGACGCUGAUGCUCGAAAGUGUGGGUAUCAAACAGGAUUAGAUACCCUGGUAGUCCACACAGUAAACGAUGAAUACUCGCUGUUGGCGAUACACAGUCGGCGGCCAAGCGAAAGCAUUAAGUAUUCCACCUGGGGAGUACGCCGGCAACGGUGAAACUCAAAGGAAUUGACGGGGGCCCGCACAAGCGGAGGAACAUGUGGUUUAAUUCGAUGAUACGCGAG